Molecule: ribosomal RNA, 425 nt
Filed under: uncultured bacterium
Lineage: Bacteria
Description: partial 16S ribosomal RNA
Rfam family: Bacterial small subunit ribosomal RNA
Source: RNAcentral
GUGGGGAAUAUUGGGCAAUGGGCGAAAGCCUGACCCAGCAACGCCGCGUGAAGGAAGAAGGUCUUCGGAUCGUAAACUUCUAUCCUUGGUGAAGAUAAUGACGGUAGCCGAGAAGGAAGCCCCGGCUAACUACGUGCCAGCAGCCGCGGUAAUACGUAGGGGGCAAGCGUUGUCCGGAAUGAUUGGGCGUACAGGGCGCGUAGGCGGCCCGGUAAGUCGGACGUGAAAGUCCUGCUUUUAAGGUGGGAAUUGCUUUGGAUACUGUCGGGCUUGAGUGCAGGAGAAGUAAGCGGAAUUCCCGGUGUAGCGGUGAAAUGCGUAGAGAUCGGGAGGAACACCAGUGGCGAAGGCGGCUUACUGGACUGUAACUGACGCUGAGGCGCGAAAGUGUGGGGAGCAAACAGGAUUAGAAACCCCAGUAGUCC